GAUGAACGCUGGCGGCGUGCCUAAUACAUGCAAGUCGAGCGAACAGACGAGGAGCUUGCUCCUCUGACGUUAGCGGCGGACGGGUGAGUAACACGUGGAUAACCUACCUAUAAGACUGGGAUAACUUCGGGAAACCGGAGCUAAUACCGGAUAAUAUAUUGAACCGCAUGGUUCAAUAGUGAAAGACGGUUUUGCUGUCACUUAUAGAUGGAUCCGCGCCGCAGUAGCUAGUUGGUAAGGUAACGGCUUACCAAGGCAACGAUGCGUAGCCGGCCUGAGAGGGUGACAGGCCACACUGGGACUGAGACACGGUCCAGACUCCUACGGGAGGCAGCAGUAGGGAAUCUUGCGCAAUGGGCGAAAGCCUGACGGAGCAACGCCGCGUGAGGGAUGAAGGUCUUCGGAUCGUAAAACUCUGUUAUUAGGGAAGAACAAAUGUGUAAGUAACUAUGCACGUCUUGACGGUACCUAAUCAGAAAGCCACGGCUAACUACGUG
This 497-nucleotide ribosomal RNA is filed under the name uncultured bacterium. RNAcentral describes it as "partial 16S ribosomal RNA". It matches the Rfam family "Bacterial small subunit ribosomal RNA", at positions 28 to 507 of the family's 1533-position model. The record is from RNAcentral.